Molecule: ribosomal RNA, 792 nt
Filed under: uncultured Lactobacillus sp.
Lineage: Bacteria; Bacillati; Bacillota; Bacilli; Lactobacillales; Lactobacillaceae
Description: bacterial SSU rRNA
Rfam family: Bacterial small subunit ribosomal RNA
Source: RNAcentral
GAUGAACGCCGGCGGUGUGCCUAAUACAUGCAAGUCGAGCGCACUGGCCCAACUGAUAUGGCGUGCUUGCACUGAAUUGACGUUGGAUUCCCAGUGAGCGGCGGACGGGUGAGUAACACGUGGGCAACCUGCCCUGAAGCGGGGGAUAACAUCUGGAAACAGGUGCUAAUACCGCAUAACAACGAAAACCGCAUGGUUUUCGUUUCAAAGAUGGUUUCGGCUAUCACUUCAGGAUGGGCCCGCGGUGCAUUAGCUAGUUGGUAAGGUAACGGCUUACCAAGGCGAUGAUGCAUAGCCGAGUUGAGAGACUGAUCGGCCACAAUGGAACUGAGACACGGUCCCUACUCCUACGGGAGGCAGCAGUAGGGAAUCUUCCACAAUGGGCGCAAGCCUGAUGGAGCAACACCGCGUGAGUGAAGAAGGGUUUCGGCUCGUAAAGCUCUGUUGUUGGAGAAGAACGUGCGUGAGAGUAACUGUUCACGCAGUGACGGUAUCCAACCAGAAAGUCACGGCUAACUACGUGCCAGCAGCCGCGGUAAUACGUAGGUGGCAAGCGUUAUCCGGAUUUAUUGGGCGUAAAGCGAGCGCAGGCGGUUGUUUAGGUCUGAUGUGAAAGCCUUCGGCUUAACCGAAGAAGUGCAUCGGAAACCGGGCGACUUGAGUGCAGAAGAGGACAGUGGAACUCCAUGUGUAGCGGUGGAAUGCGUAGAUAUAUGGAAGAACACCAGUGGCGAAGGCGGCUGUCUGGUCUGCAACUGACGCUGAGGCUCGAAAGCAUGGGUAGCGAACAGG